RNAcentral lists this ribosomal RNA (429 nucleotides) under uncultured bacterium. Its description in RNAcentral is "bacterial SSU rRNA". It matches the Rfam family "Bacterial small subunit ribosomal RNA", at positions 355 to 775 of the family's 1533-position model. The record is from RNAcentral.
UGGGGAAUAUUGGGCAAUGGGCGAAAGCCUGACCCAGCGACGCCGCGUGGGUGAUGAAGGCCUUCGGGUUGUAAAGCCCUUUCGUGCGGAAAGAACAGUCCCGUGGUUAAUACCCGCGGGAUUUGACGGUACCGCAGGAAGAAGCACCGGCUAACUCCGUGCCAGCAGCCGCGGUAAUACGGAGGGUGCAAGCGUUGUUCGGAAUUACUGGGCGUAAAGGGCGCGUAGGCGGUAAUGUAAGUCAGAUGUGAAAUCCUUCGGCUUAACCGGAGAACUGCAUCUGAAACUGCAUAACUAGAAUACAGAAGAGGGAAACGGAAUUCCCGGUGUAGAGGUGAAAUUCGUAGAUAUCGGGAGGAACACCAGUGGCGAAGGCGGUUUCCUGGUCUGAUACUGACGCUGAGGCGCGAAAGCGUGGGGAGCAAACAG